RNAcentral lists this ribosomal RNA (492 nucleotides) under uncultured bacterium. RNAcentral describes it as "partial 16S ribosomal RNA". It matches the Rfam family "Bacterial small subunit ribosomal RNA", at positions 29 to 507 of the family's 1533-position model. The record is from RNAcentral.
AGUGAACGCUGGCGGUAGGCCUAACACAUGCAAGUCGAACGGCAGCACAGUAAGAGCUUGCUCUUACGGGUGGCGAGUGGCGGACGGGUGAGGAAUACAUCGGAAUCUACUUUUUCGUGGGGGAUAACGUAGGGAAACUUACGCUAAUACCGCAUACGACCUACGGGUGAAGGCAGGGGAUCUUCGGGCCUUGCGCGAUUGAAUGAGCCGAUGUCGGAGUAGCUAGUUGGCGGGGUAAAGGCCCAGCAAGGCGACGAUCCGUAGCCGGUCUGGGAGGAUGGUCAGCCACAUUGGAACUGGGACAGCGUCCAGACUCCUACGGGAGGCAGCAGUGGCGAAUGUGGGGCAGUGGGCGCAAGCCUGAUCCAGCCAUACCGCGUGUGUGAAGAAGGCCUUCGGGUUGUAAAGCCCUUUUGUUGGUAGAGAAAAGCAGCAGGUUAAUACCCCGCUGUUCUGACGGUACCCAGAGAAUAAGCACCGGCUAACUUCGUG